CUGGGUUUGAAUACAAUUCUUCCUGCCUCAUCCGCUGCAGCACUGAGAUUGUAGGUCAUUGUUUCCCAACCUAGAUGCUGAGUCCAGUGAGACUAUGAAGAUAUUGUGAGUGUUCUUGGAGAUCAGAACAUAAGAGAUCCAACAGAGACAGGGUCUCACUAUGUAG
Molecule: long non-coding RNA, 166 nt
Organism: Fukomys damarensis (Damara mole-rat)
Lineage: Eukaryota; Metazoa; Chordata; Mammalia; Rodentia; Bathyergidae
Exons: 3
Source: RefSeq, a predicted model, not a curated record